UGGGGAAUAUUGGACAAUGGGGGGAACCCUGAUCCAGCCAUGCCGCGUGUGUGAAGAAGGCCUUUUGGUUGUAAAGCACUUUAAGCGAGGAGGAGGCUACCGAGAUUAAUACUCUUGGAUAGUGGACGUUACUCGCAGAAUAAGCACCGGCUAACUCUGUGCCAGCAGCCGCGGUAAUACAGAGGGUGCAAGCGUUAAUCGGAUUUACUGGGCGUAAAGCGCGCGUAGGUGGCCAAUUAAGUCAAAUGUGAAAUCCCCGAGCUUAACUUGGGAAUUGCAUUCGAUACUGGUUGGCUAGAGUAUGGGAGAGGAUGGUAGAAUUCCAGGUGUAGCGGUGAAAUGCGUAGAGAUCUGGAGGAAUACCGAUGGCGAAGGCAGCCAUCUGGCCUAAUACUGACACUGAGGUGCGAAAGCAUGGGGAGCAAACAGG
This 430-nucleotide ribosomal RNA is filed under the name Brucella melitensis. RNAcentral's name for it is "partial 16S ribosomal RNA". It matches the Rfam family "Bacterial small subunit ribosomal RNA", at positions 355 to 776 of the family's 1533-position model. RNAcentral also lists the same sequence under 9 other names. The record is from RNAcentral. Lineage: Bacteria; Pseudomonadati; Pseudomonadota; Alphaproteobacteria; Hyphomicrobiales; Brucellaceae.